GUUGCGCAGACCGAUCCUGUUGGGGUUGUUGGGAUCGCGCCCUAGAACCACUCCAAAUGAGUGGCGAGAGAACACGUCACCUUCCAUGAUCUUGGUUGCGUCACUCAACCUCUUGUCUGUCGUCGUCGCUGCUUCACCCAUCACUUACUCCUUCUUGGUUAAAACUGGUUUCCAAUGAGCGCUUGAUCAGACGGAGGGUUCCUUCUUCCCACUCGGCGUCAGCUACUCCCAAUGGCUUGUGGU
This 243-nucleotide ribosomal RNA is filed under the name uncultured eukaryote. RNAcentral's name for it is "partial small subunit ribosomal RNA". The record is from RNAcentral.